ACUUAAAUAGUUUAAUAAAGAUUUUGAUUUGUGGUGUCAAAGAUGUGGGUUACCACUUUAGGUC
RNAcentral lists this transfer RNA (64 nucleotides) under Siphlonurus aestivalis. RNAcentral describes it as "tRNA-His". Lineage: Eukaryota; Metazoa; Arthropoda; Insecta; Ephemeroptera; Siphlonuridae. The record is from RNAcentral.